UGGAGGGCAAGUCUGGUGCCAGCAGCCGCGGUAAUUCCAGCUCCAAUAGCGUAUAUUAAAGUUGUUGCAGUUAAAAAGCUCGUAGUUGAAUUUCAGGCCUGGCUGGACGGUCCGCCCUUCGGGUGAGUACUGUCUGUGGUCGGGUCCUACCUUCUGGCGAAGCGUCAUGGCCUUAACCGGCCGUGGCGGGGAACCAGGACUUUUACUGUGAAAAAAUUAGAGUGUUCAAAGCAGGCAAUCGCUUGGAUACAUUAGCAUGGAAUAAUGGAAUAGGACAAUGGUUCUAUUUGUUGGUUUCUAGGACCGUUGUAAUGAUUAAUAGGGAUAGUUGGGGGCAUUAGUAUUCAAUUGUCAGAGGUGAAAUUCUUGGAUUUAUUGAAGACUAACUACUGCGAAAGCAUUUGCCAAGGAUGUUUUCAUUAAUCAAGAACGAAAGUUAGGGGAUCGAAGACGAUCAGAUACCGUCGUAGUCUUAACCAUAAACUAUGCCGACUAGGAAUCGGGCGAUGUUGGCAAAAUGACGCGCUCGGCACCUCACGGGAAAC
RNAcentral lists this ribosomal RNA (545 nucleotides) under uncultured Glomus. Its description in RNAcentral is "SSU rRNA". It matches the Rfam family "Eukaryotic small subunit ribosomal RNA", at positions 549 to 1098 of the family's 1831-position model. The record is from RNAcentral. Lineage: Eukaryota; Fungi; Glomeromycota; Glomeromycetes; Glomerales; Glomeraceae.